Molecule: small nucleolar RNA, 121 nt
Filed under: Echinops telfairi (small Madagascar hedgehog)
Lineage: Eukaryota; Metazoa; Chordata; Mammalia; Afrosoricida; Tenrecidae
Description: Small nucleolar RNA SNORA61 (ENSETEG00000024169.1)
Source: RNAcentral
ACCUUCCAGAUUCCUUCCCCAUCUAAUCUAAACAUUGGUCUGAGUGGCUACCAAAGGAAGCAAAGUAAAAGUGAAACGGACUUGAAUUCUUUUGUGAGAUAGAAGAUCGUUUCAAAAAAAG